AUUGAACGCUGGCGGCAUGCCUUACACAUGCAAGUCGAACGGUAACAGGUCUUUCGGGAUGUUGACGAGUGGCGAACGGGUGAGUAAUACAUCGGAACGUGCCUAGUAGUGGGGGAUAACUACUCGAAAGAGUGGCUAAUACCGCAUGAGAUCUAUGGAUGAAAGCAGGGGACCUUCGGGCCUUGUGCUACUAGAGCGGCCGAUGGCAGAUUAGGUAGUUGGUGGGAUAAAAGCUUACCAAGCCUACGAUCUGUAGCUGGUCUGAGAGGACGAUCAGCCACACGGGGACGGAGACACGGCCCAGACUCCUACGGGAGGCAGCAGUGGGGAAUUUUGGACAAUGGGCGCAAGCCUGAUCCAGCAAUGCCGCGUGCAGGAUGAAGGCCUUCGGGUUGUAAACUGCUUUUGUACGGAACGAAAAGUCUUGGGUUAAUACCCUGGGAUCAUGACGGUACCGUAAGAAUAAGCACCGGCUAACUACGUGCCAGCCGCCGCGGUAA
This 500-nucleotide ribosomal RNA is filed under the name uncultured bacterium. RNAcentral's name for it is "partial 16S ribosomal RNA". It matches the Rfam family "Bacterial small subunit ribosomal RNA", at positions 30 to 523 of the family's 1533-position model. The record is from RNAcentral.